GGACGGUUAGCUCAGCUGGGAGAGCAUCUGCCUUACAAGCAGAGGGUCGGCGGUUCGAUCCCGUCACCGUCCA
This 73-nucleotide transfer RNA is filed under the name Lihuaxuella thermophila. It matches the Rfam family "tRNA". Rfam says of the family: Transfer RNA (tRNA) molecules are approximately 80 nucleotides in length. Their secondary structure includes four short double-helical elements and three loops (D, anti-codon, and T loops). Further hydrogen bonds mediate the characteristic L-shaped molecular structure. tRNAs have two regions of fundamental functional importance: the anti-codon, which is responsible for specific mRNA codon recognition, and the 3' end, to which the tRNAs corresponding amino acid is attached (by aminoacyl-tRNA synthetases). tRNAs cope with the degeneracy of the genetic code in two manners: having more than one tRNA (with a specific anti-codon) for a particular amino acid; and 'wobble' base-pairing, i.e. permitting non-standard base-pairing at the 3rd anti-codon position. The record is from Rfam by way of RNAcentral. RNAcentral also lists the same sequence under 2 other names. Lineage: Bacteria; Bacillati; Bacillota; Bacilli; Caryophanales; Thermoactinomycetaceae.